UAAGGAAUAUUGGUCAAUGGACGCAAGUCUGAACCAGCCAUGCCGCGUGAAGGAUGAAGGUCCUCUGGAUUGUAAACUUCUUUUAUCUGGGACGAAAACGGGAUUUUUAUCUCAAUUGACGGUACCAGAGGAAUAAGCACCGGCUAACUCCGUGCCAGCAGCCGCGGUAAUACGGAGGGUGCGAGCGUUAUCCGGAUUUACUGGGUUUAAAGGGUGCGUAGGUGGGCUUAUAAGUCAGUGGUGAAAUCUCCGAGCUUAACUUGGAAACUGCCGUUGAUACUAUAGGUCUUGAAUUAUCUGGAGGUAAGCGGAAUAUGUCAUGCAGCGGUGAAAUGCUUAGAUAUGACAUAGAACACCAAUUGCGAAGGCGGUCUCUUGAUCCGACACUGACGCUGAGGCGCGAAAGCGUGGGGAGCAAACA
Molecule: ribosomal RNA, 421 nt
Filed under: uncultured bacterium
Lineage: Bacteria
Description: bacterial SSU rRNA
Rfam family: Bacterial small subunit ribosomal RNA
Source: RNAcentral